UACGGGGGAUGCAAGCGUUAUUCGGAAUUAUUGGGCGUAAAGGGCGCGUAGGCUGCCUUAUCAGUCAGAUGUGAAAGCCCGGGGCUCAACCCCGGCAGUGCAUUUGAAACAGUAAGGCUUGAGUAUGGGAGAGGAAAGCGGAAUUCCUGGUGUAGAGGUGAAAUUCGUAGAUAUCAGGAGGAACACCGGUGGCGAAGGCGGCUUUCUGGACCAAUACUGACGCUGAGGCGCGAAGGCGUGGGUAGCGAACGGG
Molecule: ribosomal RNA, 253 nt
Filed under: uncultured bacterium
Lineage: Bacteria
Description: partial 16S ribosomal RNA
Rfam family: Bacterial small subunit ribosomal RNA
Source: RNAcentral